This is a non-coding RNA of Misgurnus anguillicaudatus (oriental weatherfish), 647 nucleotides long. The record is from the annotation of a RefSeq genome assembly. Lineage: Eukaryota; Metazoa; Chordata; Actinopteri; Cypriniformes; Cobitidae.
CAAUGAACUCUUUUACUGAGGAAGAAUAUUUUCAUGCUAAAGACACUUUGCAUUGGCUGUUCAUGCUUCACUGCUUUGUGAGUGUUUAUAGACCCCUGAGUUUAGAGGAACUAUGAAAGGAAAAAACUGUAUUACUGUAUGACAACAAACUCUGAAGUUACAACUAUGAUUUUUAUCAUUGUUUGGACGCUAUGUAGUAUUCAAGGUUUGAUGUGUCAGGUUGUUGUGACUCAGUCUGGAGAUCAGACAGUGGAGCCUGGUCAAACUGUUACUAUUGAAUGUAAACAUACACCAAGCAUUAAUCGGUGGAAUGCAAAGGAGAAGAAGGACUGCAUGUCCUGGUACCACCAGAUUCCUGGAGACGUUCCUAAACUCCUGAUCUCUUACACAUCAAACAGAGCUUCAGGUGUUUCUGAAAGAUUCAGUGGCAGUGGGAAUACAAAUUCCAUUGAUUAUAGUCUGACCAUCAGUAAAGUUCAGCCUGAAGAUUCAGGAGUUUAUUACUGUAUGGGUCAAUAUAACACUAAACCUGAAGGGGUACAGUUGGUGUUCACACAGUGUGAUAGUGUCAUACAAAAACCUCAUCUGUAAAGAUGGCAUUGAUACAGUAACAGUUUAUUUGGAGAACUAAAUAAAUCUGUUGUUGU